AUACGGAAGGUCCGGGCGUUAUCCGGAUUUAUUGGGUUUAAAGGGAGCGCAGGCGGAGAUGCAAGCGUGACGUCAAAUUUCGGGGCUCAACCCCGUCUCGCGUCGCGAACUGCGUCCCUUGGUUGCGGGAAGGGGAGGCGGAACUCGGGGUGUAGCGGGGAAAUGCAUAGAUAUCACGAAGAACUCCGAUCGCGAAGGCAGCCUUCCGGCCCGUCAACGACGCUCAUGCUCGAAGGUGCGGGUAUCAAACAGGAUUAGAUACCCUGGUAGUCCGCACAGUAAACGAUGGACACCCGCGGUUUGGCCUGUAUGGCUGAGCCGCCAAGCGAAAGCGUUAAGUGUCCCACCUGGGGAGUACGCCGGCAACGGUGAAACUCAAAGGAAUUGACGGGG
This 393-nucleotide ribosomal RNA is filed under the name uncultured bacterium. Its description in RNAcentral is "partial 16S ribosomal RNA". It matches the Rfam family "Bacterial small subunit ribosomal RNA", at positions 523 to 918 of the family's 1533-position model. The record is from RNAcentral.